This 453-nucleotide ribosomal RNA is filed under the name Triticum aestivum (bread wheat). RNAcentral's name for it is "partial small subunit ribosomal RNA". Lineage: Eukaryota; Viridiplantae; Streptophyta; Magnoliopsida; Poales; Poaceae. The record is from RNAcentral.
AUGGAGAAACAAGGUGGUGAAGUAUUCACAUAUGAGGUGUUCGAGAAAUUUCAAUUCCAAGUUAUCGCUGCUAGAGACCAUUGUUGUUUUCAGAGUAUUGCACAAGAUGCAGGGGUAAAAAAUGUCACCUUGAGAGGUCAAUCUGGUAAGGUUAGGGAGGUAUGCUAUGACAGUACAAGCAUGGCAGCAAAUUGUUCGUGCAAGUUGUUUGAGUCAGUUGGUAUUCCAUGUCGCCAUAUUAUCCAAGUGUUGAGGAUCGAUAACCAAAAAGAGCUUCCCAACUACUACAUUAUGAAAAGAUGGCAGAAAAGGUGCAAAAGGGAGAAUGUUUAUGAUGAACACGGGAACCUACUAGAAGAGAAGCCCACUGAUUCAUUGGGUGCGGCCAUGAGAAAUAAGAUUUCAACUGUGCGCUAUAAGAUGGAAGAGCUGAUUCAAAAGGCGAAAUACUAA